This 131-nucleotide small nuclear RNA is filed under the name Hirsutella minnesotensis 3608. RNAcentral describes it as "U4 spliceosomal RNA". It matches the Rfam family "U4 spliceosomal RNA". Rfam says of the family: U4 small nuclear RNA (U4 snRNA) is a component of the major U2-dependent spliceosome. The record is from Rfam by way of RNAcentral. Lineage: Eukaryota; Fungi; Ascomycota; Sordariomycetes; Hypocreales; Ophiocordycipitaceae.
AUCCGAGUGCACGGGCGUUUUCCUUCUCCGUGAAGCGAUAAGCUGAGAGAGGAAUUUUGCUAGUUGAAAACUAUAUAUGAACCACUUCCCAUUGGGUUCGCCCGGUGGGAGAAUUUUUGGAAUCUACUGUU